UCAUCUUCGGGGGUAGAGCACUGUUUCGGCUAGGGGGUCAUCCCGACUUACCAACCCGAUGCAAACUACGAAUACCGAAGAAUGUUAUCACGGGAGACACACGGCGGGUGCUAACGUCCGUCGUGAAGAGGGAAACAACCCAGACCGCCAGCUAAGGUCCCAAAGUCAUGGUUAAGUGGGAAACGAUGUGGGAAGGCACAGACAGCCAGGAUGUUGGCUUAGAAGCAGCCAUCAUUUAAAGAAAGCGUAAUAGCUCACUGGUCGAGUCGGCCUGCGCGGAAGAUGUAACGGGGCUAAACCAUGCACCGAAGCUGCGGCAGCGACACUAUGUGUUGUUGGGUAGGGGAGCGUUCUGUAAGCCUGCGAAGGUGUGCUGUGAGGCAUGCUGGAGGUAUCAGAAGUGCGAAUGCUGACAUAAGUAACGAUAAAGCGGGUGAAAAGCCCGCUCGCCGGAAGACCAAGGGUUCCUGUCCAACGUUAAUCGGGGCAGGGUGAGUCGACCCCUAAGGCGAGGCCGAAAGGCGUAGUCGAUGGGAAACAGGUUAAUAUUCCUGUACUUGGUGUUACUGCGAAGGGGGGACGGAGAAGGCUAUGUUAGCCGGGCGACGGUUGUCCCGGUUUAAGCAUGUAGGCUGGUUGUCCAGGCAAAUCCGGAUAAUCAAGGCUGAGGUGUGAUGACGAGGCACUACGGUGCUGAAGUAACAAAUGCCCUGCUUCCAGGAAAAGCCUCUAAGCAUCAGGUAACAUUAAAUCGUACCCCAAACCGACACAGGUGGUCAGGUAGAGAAUACCAAGGCGCUUGAGAGAACUCGGGUGAAGGAACUAGGCAAAAUGGUGCCGUAACUUCGGGAGAAGGCACGCUGGUGUGUAGGUGAAGUCCCUGCGGAUGGAGCUGAGACCAGUCGAAGAUACCAGCUGGCUGCAACUGUUUAUUAAAAACACAGCACUGUGCAAACACGAAAGUGGACGUAUACGGUGUGACGCCUGCCCGGUGCCGGAAGGUUAAUUGAUGGGGUUAUCCGUAAGGAGAAGCUCUUGAUCGAAGCCCCGGUAAACGGCGGCCGUAACUAUAACGGUCCUAAGGUAGCGAAAUUCCUUGUCGGGUAAGUUCCGACCUGCACGAAUGGCGUAAUGAUGGCCAGGCUGUCUCCACCCGAGACUCAGUGAAAUUGAACUCGCUGUGAAGAUGCAGUGUACCCGCGGCAAGACGGAAAGACCCCGUGAACCUUUACUAUAGCUUGACACUGAACAUUGAGCCUUGAUGUGUAGGAUAGGUGGGAGGCUUUGAAGCGUGGACGCCAGUCUGCGUGGAGCCAACCUUGAAAUACCACCCUUUAAUGUUUGAUGUUCUAACGUUGGCCCCUGACCGGGGUUGCGGACAGUGUCUGGUGGGUAGUUUGACUGGGGCGGUCUCCUCCCAAAGCGUAACGGAGGAGCACGAAGGUUAGCUAAUCCUGGUCGGACAUCAGGAGGUUAGUGCAAUGGCAUAAGCUAGCUUGACUGCGAGCGUGACGGCGCGAGCAGGUGCGAAAGCAGGUCAUAGUGAUCCGGUGGUUCUGAAUGGAAGGGCCAUCGCUCAACGGAUAAAAGGUACUCCGGGGAUAACAGGCUGAUACCGCCCAAGAGUUCAUAUCGACGGCGGUGUUUGGCACCUCGAUGUCGGCUCAUCACAUCCUGGGGCUGAAGUAGGUCCCAAGGGUAUGGCUGUUCGCCAUUUAAAGUGGUACGCGAGCUGGGUUUAGAACGUCGUGAGACAGUUCGGUCCCUAUCUGCCGUGGGCGCUGGAGAAUUGAGGGGGGCUGCUCCUAGUACGAGAGGACCGGAGUGGACGCAUCACUGGUGUUCGGGUUGUCAUGCCAAUGGCACUGCCCGGUAGCUAAAUGCGGAAGAGAUAAGUGCUGAAAGCAUCUAAGCACGAAACUUGCCCCGAGAUGAGUUCUCCCUGAGACUUUAAGUCUCCUGAAGGAACGUU
This 1972-nucleotide ribosomal RNA is filed under the name Klebsiella pneumoniae. Its description in RNAcentral is "partial 23S ribosomal RNA". It matches the Rfam family "Bacterial large subunit ribosomal RNA", at positions 890 to 2839 of the family's 2925-position model. The record is from RNAcentral. Lineage: Bacteria; Pseudomonadati; Pseudomonadota; Gammaproteobacteria; Enterobacterales; Enterobacteriaceae.